Molecule: ribosomal RNA, 433 nt
Filed under: uncultured bacterium
Lineage: Bacteria
Description: partial 16S ribosomal RNA
Rfam family: Bacterial small subunit ribosomal RNA
Source: RNAcentral
AACGAACGCUGGCGGCAUGCCUAACACAUGCAAGUCGAACGAGACCUUCGGGUCUAGUGGCGCACGUGUGCGUAACGCGUGGGAACCUGCCCUUAGGUUCGGAAUAACUCCCCGAAAGGGGUGCUAAUACCGGAUAAUGUCUUCGGACCAAGGAUUUAUCGCCUUUGGAUGGGCCCGCGUUGGAUUAGCUAGUUGGUAGGGUAAAAGCCUACCAAGGCGACGAUCCAUAGCUGGUCUGAGAGGAUGAUCAGCCACACUGGGACUGAGACACGGCCCAGACUCCUACGGGAGGCAGAAGUGGGGAAUAUUGGACAAUGGGCGAAAGCCUGACCCAGCAAUGCCGCGUGAGUGAUGAAGGCCUUAGGGUUGUAAAGCUCUUUUACCCGGGAUGAUAAUGACAGUACCGGGAGAAUAAGCUCCGGCUAACUCCGUG